CUGGUGAGGAGAACUAUCCCUCAGUCUGAUUCAGUAUCAGCAGGCCCAGGCCCUGGUGAGGAGAACUAUCCCUCAGUCUGAUUCAGUAUCAGCAGGCCCUGGCCCUGGUGAGGAGAACUAUCCCUCAGUCUGAUUCAGUAUCAGCAGGCCCUGGUGAGGAGAACUAUCCCUCAGUCUGAUUCAGUAUAAGCAGGCCCUGGUGAGGAGAACUAUCCCUCAGUCUGAUUCAGUAUCAGCAGGCCCCGGUGAGGAGAACUAUCCCUGAGUCUGAUUCCGUAUCAGCAGGCCCAGGCCCUGGUGAGGAGAACUAUCCCUCAGUCUGAUUCAGUAUCAGCAGGCCCAGGCCCUGGUGAGGAGAACUAUCCCUCAGUCUGAUUCAGUAUAAACAGGCCCUGGCCCUGGUGAGGAGAACUAUCCCUCGGUCUGUUUCAGUAUCAGCAGGCCCAUGCCCUGGUGAGGAGAACUAUCCC
Long non-coding RNA from Oncorhynchus tshawytscha (Chinook salmon), 470 nucleotides. Lineage: Eukaryota; Metazoa; Chordata; Actinopteri; Salmoniformes; Salmonidae. The record is from Ensembl.